RNAcentral lists this ribosomal RNA (301 nucleotides) under uncultured bacterium. RNAcentral describes it as "partial 16S ribosomal RNA". It matches the Rfam family "Bacterial small subunit ribosomal RNA", at positions 509 to 807 of the family's 1533-position model. The record is from RNAcentral.
CAGUCGCCGCGGGAAUACGAAGGGUGCAAGCGUUACUCGGAAUUACUGGGCGUAAAGCGUGCGUAGGUGGUGGUUUGAGUCCGUUGUGAAAGCCCUGGGCUCAACCUGGGAAUUGCAGUGGAUACUGGGUCACUAGAGUGUGGUAGAGGAUAGUGGAAUUCCCGGUGUAGCAGUGAAAUGCGUAGAGAUCGGAAGGAACAUCUGUGGCGAAGGCGACUAUCUGGGCCAACACUGACACUGAGGCACGAAAGCGUGGGGAGCAAACAGGAUUAGAUACCCGGGUAGUCCCUGUCUCUUAUAC